Molecule: ribosomal RNA, 874 nt
Filed under: uncultured marine bacterium
Lineage: Bacteria
Description: bacterial SSU rRNA
Rfam family: Bacterial small subunit ribosomal RNA
Source: RNAcentral
CUGGCGGCAGGCCUAACACAUGCAAGUCGAGCGCUCACUUCGGUGGGAGCGGCGGACGGGUUAGUAACGCGUGGGAAUAUGCCCGGUACUAAGGAAUAGCCUUUGGAAACGAAGAGUAAUACCUUAUACGCCCUUCGGGGGAAAGAUUUAUCGGUAUCGGAUUAGCCCGCGUAAGAUUAGAUAGUUGGUGGGGUAAUGGCCUACCAAGUCUACGAUCUUUAGCUGGUUUUAGAGGAUGAUCAGCAACACUGGGACUGAGACACGGCCCAGACUCCUACGGGAGGCAGCAGUGGGGAAUCUUAGACAAUGGGCGCAAGCCUGAUCUAGCCAUGCCGCGUGAGUGAAGAAGGCCUUAGGGUCGUAAAGCUCUUUCGCCUGUGAUGAUAAUGACAGUAGCAGGUAAAGAAACCCCGGCUAACUCCGUGCCAGCAGCCGCGGUAAUACGGAGGGGGUUAGCGUUGUUCGGAAUUACUGGGCGUAAAGCGCGCGUAGGCGGACUAGAAAGUUGGGGGUGAAAUCCCGGGGCUCAACCUCGGAACUGCCUCCAAAACUGCUAGUCUAGAGUUCGAGAGAGGUGAGUGGAAUUCCAAGUGUAGAGGUGGAAUUCGUAGAUAUUUGGAGGAACACCAGUGGCGAAGGCGGCUCACUGGCUCGAUACUGACGCUGAGGUGCGAAAGUGUGGGGAGCAAACAGGAUUAGAUACCCUGGUAGUCCACACCGUAAACGAUGAAUGCCAGUCGUCGGCAAGUAUACUUGUCGGUGACACACCUAACGGAUUAAGCAUUCCGCCUGGGGAGUACGGUCGCAAGAUUAAAACUCAAAGGAAUUGACGGGGGCCCGCACAAGCGGUGGAGCAUGUGGUUUAAUUCGAAGC